Molecule: ribosomal RNA, 569 nt
Filed under: fungal sp. ARIZ B381
Lineage: Eukaryota; Fungi
Description: eukaryotic LSU rRNA
Rfam family: 5.8S ribosomal RNA (bases 194-347)
Source: RNAcentral
UUGGAAGUAAAAGUNGUAACAAGGUUUCCGUAGGUGAACCUGCGGAAGGAUCAUUACCGAGUUUUCGGGCUUCGGCUCGACUCUCCCACCCUUUGUGAACGUACCUCUGUUGCUUUGGCGGCUCCGGCCGCCAAAGGACCUCCAAACUCCAGUCAGUAAACGCAGACGUCUGAUAAACAAGUUAAUAAACUAAAACUUUCAACAACGGAUCUCUUGGUUCUGGCAUCGAUGAAGAACGCAGCGAAAUGCGAUAAGUAAUGUGAAUUGCAGAAUUCAGUGAAUCAUCGAAUCUUUGAACGCACAUUGCGCCCCUUGGUAUUCCGGGGGGCAUGCCUGUUCGAGCGUCAUUACAACCCUCAAGCUCUGCUUGGAAUUGGGCACCGUCCUCACUGCGGACGCGCCUCAAAGACCUCGGCGGUGGCUGUUCAGCCCUCAAGCGUAGUAGAAUACACCUCGCUUUGGAGUGGUUGGCGUCGCCCGCCGGACGAACCUUCUGAACUUUUCUCAAGGUUGACCUCGGAUCAGGUAGGGAUACCCGCUGAACUUAAGCAUAUCAAUAAGCGGAGGAA